RNAcentral lists this ribosomal RNA (253 nucleotides) under uncultured bacterium. Its description in RNAcentral is "partial 16S ribosomal RNA". It matches the Rfam family "Bacterial small subunit ribosomal RNA", at positions 524 to 776 of the family's 1533-position model. The record is from RNAcentral.
UACAGAGGGUGCAAACGUUGUUCGGAAUUACUGGGCGUAAAGCGUGUGUAGGCGGCUCUGCAAGUCGGAUGUGAAAGCCCUGGGCUCAACCCAGGAAGUGCACUCGAUACUGCAGAGCUUGAGUAUCGGAGAGGUUGGUGGAAUUCUCGGUGUAGAGGUGAAAUUCGUAGAUAUCGAGAGGAACACCGGUGGCGAAGGCGGCCAACUGGACGAAUACUGACGCUGAGACACGAAAGCGUGGGGAGCAAACAGG